GAUCCUGGCUCAGAAUCAACGCUGGCGGCGUGCCUCAGACAUGCAAGUCGAACGAUUAAACUUUCCUUCGGGAAAGAUAUAAAGUGGCGCACGGGUGAGUAACACGUAAGUAAUCUACCUUCGAGUGGGGAAUAACGUUCGGAAACGAACGCUAAUACCGCAUAAUGCAGCGGCAUCGCAAGAUGACAGUUGUUAAAGGAAUUUAUUUCGCUUGAAGAGGAGCUUGCGGCAGAUUAGCUUGUUGGUAAGGUAACGGCUUACCAAGGCUACGAUCUGUAUCCGGUCUAAGAGGACGGUCGGACACACUGACACUGAAUAACGGGUCAGACUCCUACGGGAGGCAGCAGUCGGGAAUUUUGGGCAAUGGGCGAAAGCCUGACCCAGCAACGCCGCGUGAAGGAUGAAGUAUUUCGGUAUGUAAACUUCGAAAGAAUGGGAAGAAUAAAUGACGGUACCAUUUAUAAGCUCCGGCUAACUACGUGCCAGCAGCCGCGGUAAUACGUAGGGAGCAAGCGUUGUUCGGAUUUACUGGGCGUAAAGGGCGCGUAGGCGGCGCGGUAAGUCACUUGUGAAAUCUCUGAGCUUAACUCAGAACGGCCAAGUGAUACUGCAGUGCUAGAGUGCAGAAGGGGCAAUCGGAAUUCUUGGUGUAGCGGUGAAAUGCGUAGAUAUCAAGAGGAACACCUGAGG
RNAcentral lists this ribosomal RNA (690 nucleotides) under uncultured Acidobacteriota bacterium. RNAcentral's name for it is "bacterial SSU rRNA". It matches the Rfam family "Bacterial small subunit ribosomal RNA", at positions 15 to 715 of the family's 1533-position model. The record is from RNAcentral. Lineage: Bacteria; Pseudomonadati; Acidobacteriota.